GGAAGCGUGGCAGAGCGGUUGAAUGCACCGGUCUUGAAAACCGGCAAGGGCGCGAGUCCUUCGUGAGUUCGAAUCUCACCGCUUCCGCCA
RNAcentral lists this transfer RNA (90 nucleotides) under Burkholderiales bacterium. Its description in RNAcentral is "tRNA-Ser". It matches the Rfam family "tRNA". From Rfam's summary of the family: Transfer RNA (tRNA) molecules are approximately 80 nucleotides in length. RNAcentral also lists the same sequence under 3 other names. Lineage: Bacteria; Pseudomonadati; Pseudomonadota; Betaproteobacteria; Burkholderiales. The record is from RNAcentral.